RNAcentral lists this ribosomal RNA (368 nucleotides) under uncultured bacterium. RNAcentral's name for it is "bacterial SSU rRNA". It matches the Rfam family "Bacterial small subunit ribosomal RNA", at positions 29 to 425 of the family's 1533-position model. The record is from RNAcentral.
AACGAACGCUGGCGGCAGGCCUAACACAUGCAAGUCGAACGCUCCGCAAGGGGAGUGGCGCACGGGUGAGUAACACGUGGGAACCUACCUUCUGGUACGGAACAACCAAGGGAAACUUUGGUCUAAAACCGUAAUACGACCUCCGGGUGAAAGAUUGAUCGCCGGAAGAGGGGCCCGCGUCCGAUUAGGUAGUUGGUGAGGUAACGGCUCACCAAGCCUACGAUCGGUAGCUGGUCUGAGAGGAUGGCCAGCCACACUGGGACUGAGACACGGCCCAGACUCCUACGGGAGGCAGCAGUGGGGAAUAUUGGACAAUGGGCGCAAGCCUGAUCCAGCCAUGCCGCGUGAGUGAUGAAGGCCUUCGGUUG